Long non-coding RNA from Brassica napus (rape), 921 nucleotides. RefSeq lists it as uncharacterized. The record is from RefSeq and is a predicted model, not a curated record. The transcript is spliced from 3 exons. Lineage: Eukaryota; Viridiplantae; Streptophyta; Magnoliopsida; Brassicales; Brassicaceae.
CAACAGUGUGCCGUGAUCACGUUCAGCUUGCCACCACCGAUAAACGCCCUAGACCACCAUCGUGUUCCUCUCGUCGAGACGAAGCCGUAGACACCAACCACGCCUCAAUCGGAGCCCGGACGAAGCCUCACGCGCCUCCGGAAGUUUCGCCUCUGCGCGCGCGUGAAGUACACGCGUCGCCGCCGGCAAACGUCGCCACCGCCGGACCACCGUCCCCCGCCGCCGGAUUACCGCCGUCGUCGCCGACAACCGCCGCCGGAAUACCGCCGUCGCCGCCGGUGACCGACACCGGUGACUCGCCGGCGACUCGGUCAACUCGGCCGAGUCAACUCAGUGAGUCAACCGAGUUGACUCGGUUAACCGAUUGGUUAGCCGGUUUAAAUUGAUUUCGGUUCGGUUAGGGUAAACCGGUCGGUUUAGUCAAAUCGAUUUCUGGUCAAAGCUUGACCGGGUUGACUUUGACCGGCGGGUUGACUUUUCCGAAAACCUUGACCAGUUCCGUUUUCGACCGUUCGAAAGGCGUUCUGACUCAGAAUUUCGAUCUGAUUUCAGAUAUGGAGUCUAUUUGAGCAGCUGGAGUUCAUAGACAACACUUUUCUAUUGCUAAGGUGAGACAAACAAGUAUGUGAUAUUUGGACGGACUUGGUGCUAUUGGACUUUUCUUUCGGAUUUUAUUUGGGCAUGGGUGAGAGUUGUCGGGUUUAUGGGCUUUUAUAUUACGGGAUAUUGUUGGUGGCCCGUCGUCCUUAGUGUCAGGGAGACGGGUGUCACAUUGUUGUAUGAUGACGCAUCGGGGGUGACACGCUGUCCUCCAUAUAGGAGGUGUAGGGUGUCACAAUUUGGUAUCAGAGCGGGUUCCAUCCCGGUUCCGUCCGGGAUGGCGGUCAGGGGAUUCGGUUUUCAUCGGUUUUCAACUUAAAA